CGUUGGUGAGGUAACGGCUCACCAAAAGCAACGAUCAGUAGCUGGUCUGAGAGGACGACCAGCCACACUGGGACUGAGACACGGCCCAGACUCCUACGGGAGGCAGCAG
This 109-nucleotide ribosomal RNA is filed under the name uncultured bacterium. Its description in RNAcentral is "partial 16S ribosomal RNA". It matches the Rfam family "Bacterial small subunit ribosomal RNA", at positions 247 to 354 of the family's 1533-position model. The record is from RNAcentral.